UACGUAGGGUGCGAGCGUUAAUCGGAAUUACUGGGCGUAAAGCGUGCGUAGGUGGUUCGUUGUGUCUGUGGUGAAAUCCCCGGGCUCAACCUGGGAACUGCAUUUGUGACUGCAUCGCUGGAGUGCGGCAGAGGGGGAUGGAAUUCCGCGUGUAGCAGUGAAAUGCGUAGAUAUGCGGAGGAACACCGAUGGCGAAGGCAAUCCCCUGGGCCUGCACUGACGCUCAUGCACGAAAGCGUGGGGAGCAAACAGG
RNAcentral lists this ribosomal RNA (253 nucleotides) under uncultured bacterium. RNAcentral describes it as "partial 16S ribosomal RNA". It matches the Rfam family "Bacterial small subunit ribosomal RNA", at positions 524 to 776 of the family's 1533-position model. The record is from RNAcentral.